This 430-nucleotide ribosomal RNA is filed under the name uncultured bacterium. RNAcentral describes it as "bacterial SSU rRNA". It matches the Rfam family "Bacterial small subunit ribosomal RNA", at positions 960 to 1391 of the family's 1533-position model. The record is from RNAcentral.
CGCGAAGAACCUUACCAGGUCUUGACAUCUAGUGCCAUUUGUAGAGAUACAAAGUUCCCUUCGGGGACGCUAAGACAGGUGGUGCAUGGCUGUCGUCAGCUCGUGUCGUGAGAUGUUGGGUUAAGUCCCGCAACGAGCGCAACCCUUGUUAUUAGUUGCCAGCAUUAAGUUGGGCACUCUAAUGAGACUGCCGGUGACAAACCGGAGGAAGGUGGGGAUGACGUCAAGUCAUCAUGCCCCUUAUGACCUGGGCUACACACGUGCUACAAUGGGCAGUACAACGAGAAGCGAGCCUGCGAAGGCAAGCGAAUCUCUGAAAGCUGUUCUCAGUUCGGACUGCAGUCUGCAACUCGACUGCACGAAGCUGGAAUCGCUAGUAAUCGCGGAUCAGCACGCCGCGGUGAAUACGUUCCCGGGUCUUGUACACACC